Non-coding RNA from Podarcis lilfordi (Lilford's wall lizard), 267 nucleotides. NCBI's taxonomy places the organism in Eukaryota, Metazoa, Chordata, Lepidosauria, Squamata, Lacertidae. The record is from the annotation of a GenBank genome assembly.
UGGAAGAAAUUUAAAGACUAUCUUCAGAAACAUUGCAAAAUUAAAGAAUGUUAGAGUGAUGUUGGACUGAAAAUAAGCGGUUUCGUGCUGUACAGGUUAAAGUUAAUGAUAGACUAAGAUUAAAGAUUAGGAUUAAAGAUGUUUAAAGAAAUGGAAAUUUGACAUUAAGAGGGAAAAUUUUAACGUUAUAUGAUACUAAGACCAAAGAUCAGGUUUAAAGAAAUUGAAGUUAUAUAUUUCAAUAUCUUAUUAAAGCUAAAGAUUGGG